Molecule: long non-coding RNA, 1874 nt
Filed under: Homo sapiens (human)
Lineage: Eukaryota; Metazoa; Chordata; Mammalia; Primates; Hominidae
Description: non-protein coding lnc-CXorf56-6:1
Source: RNAcentral
UACAUGUGCAAAUUUGUUACACAGAUAAACUUGUGUUAUAGGAGUUUAUUGUGCAAAUUAUUUCAUCACCCAGAUAUUAAGCCUAGUACCCAUUAGUUAUUUUUCCUGAUCCUCUUCUUCCUCCUACCCUUCAUCCUCCAAUAGGCCCCUGUGUAUGGUCUUUUUAAUAUAAUGACUUGUUUUUUGUUGGGUAGAUACCAAGUAGUGGGAUUGCUGGAUCGAAUGGUAGAGCUACUUUUAGUUCUUUGAGAAAUCUCCAUACUAUUUUCCAUAGAGGUUGUACUAAUUCACAUUCCCACCAGCAGUGUAAAAGUGUUCCCUUAUCACUGCAUCCUUACCAACAUCUAUUGUUUUUUGACUUUUUAAUAAUGGCCAUUCUGGCUGGGGUAAGAUGGUAUCUCACUGUGGUUUUAAUUUGCAUCUCCCUGAUGAUUAGUGAUGUUGAACAUUUUUUGAUAUACCUGUGGGACAUUUGUGUAUCUUCUUUUGAGAAGUGUCUGUUUAUGUCACUUGCCCACUUUUUAAUGGGAUUAUUUGCUUUUUCUUGCUGAUUUGAGUUCCUUGUGGAUUCUGGAUAUUAGUCCUUUGUUGGAUAUAUAGUUUGCAAAUAUUUUCUCCCAUUCUGUAGGUUGUUUAUUCUGUCCACUCUCUUUGACUCACUCCAACCACCUCUGGGCAACUUCUCCAUUACCAUUGAUGCAAAAUCUAAUGUUCAACUGUCAGUCCUAACAUUACUUGAAAUAGUUGAUCACUCCGACUUUGAAACACUUUUUCAGUUGGCUUCCAGGACCUCACGCUGUCCUGGUUUCUUUUGACCACAUUGGUUCCUUUCUUUGUCUCUUUUAUUAAUCCCUCUUCUUUUCCCCAACUUCUCCAACAUUAGAAUUUCCCAAGGGCUUGGUCUUGGUCCACCUAUUUUCUCUCACUCUCCUUGCUCCUAUCUAAUCUCAUGGCUUCAAAUAUAACCCAUGUGCUGCUGUCUGCCUAAUUUACUUCUUCAGCAAGUCCUCUCUCCUGAACUCCAGAUUCAUACAUCCAACUGCCUACUUGACAUGGCUUAGCUGUGUUAUAGACAUCUUAAACUACUUUUCCUGUUCCAAACUGAAUCUUCAGAUGUUCAUCCCCAUAACUUAUCUUCUGUUAGUCUUCUACAUCUCAGGAAAUGACAACUUCACUCACCCAGUUGCUCAGACCAAAAACCUUGGCAUCAUCCUUGACUCCUCUCUCUCACACACUCCACAUCUAGUACCAAAUUUACUGUGAAGCUAAUGAAGCUUAAGCAUCAGAGCCGCUCACUUGCAGGAGCCCCUUACGAGACACAAGGCUCCUUACGGUGGGGUAACACAGUCAUGUGCUUUUGUAAAAUUUGCAAAAGUAAAAUAUUUUAAUUACAAUCAGUUAAGACAGCUGUCUCUUCACUCUGACUUCCCCUGUAUCACUCUUCCUUCAUGGCGGGAUUGGCAUUGGGGUGGCUGUGAACAUUGUUGGGAUCAUGCAGAGGGGAAAUUGAAUUGGGUUUACAUUUAUUUUUGAUUUGAUCAGAUAUAUUUCCAUGGCUGGCAGUCACCUCUAUACCACUGUUAACCAUCUCAGCAUAGGAGUGGCUUCCAGAAAUACUCUCACCUCAAUUACCUUACUAUGCUGGCUAGUGGUGCAGGGCCAAAGAUCAUAUCUCAAAUACUACCGCCUCCUAUAGCACCCAGCAUUGGGAAUAUGUGUAGCUGAGGAGAAAUAGAUUUGGAAUGUACAGAGCCAGAAACUAGUCUGUGGAAAAUUAUUCACUGGACAUGUAAAACUAUAUAUGGAGAAGUCAGUUCCGCCUAGUCGGAAUGGGAGUUUUCUUCUGUCACUAAUAUACUCAAUAAUGCAACAUG